RNAcentral lists this small RNA (1194 nucleotides) under Pongo abelii (Sumatran orangutan). Its description in RNAcentral is "processed transcript". Lineage: Eukaryota; Metazoa; Chordata; Mammalia; Primates; Hominidae. The record is from RNAcentral.
AAAAACGAGGUGGCUAUGUGAGAUGGCCUUUAGCGGUCUUUCCAGCCCCACGGUUUUACAGUGUGGAGCGGGGAAAGAAAAACUCCAAGGUCCUUGCUUCAAAGCAACCGUCGGAGCCCCGCCGUGCCGCUCCUCUCCGCCCAGGGUCCGGAUGCCGCCGCCGGCAGGGGCGCAAGGGCCGCAGCACGCGUGCGCAGUGGGCACCAAGAGCGCUGCGUCGACCAAGCCGCGCCCGGCCCUCCGCCACCGCGCCGGCCUCCAAGGCCCUGAGGAAGGCGGCGGAUGCGCUCUGCUGCACUUCCAGGAAGUCCGAACCAAGCUUCGUAUCCACCUGCUGGCUGCACUCAUCACCUUUUUGGUCUAUGCAGGAGGAAGUCUAACAGGAGCUGUAUUUAAUCCAGCUUUGGCACUUUCGCUACAUUUCAUGUGUUUUGACGAAGCAUUCCCUCAGUUUUUUAUAGUAUACUGGCUGGCUCCUUCUUUAGGUAUAUUGUUGAUGAUUUUGAUGUUCAGCUUUUUCCUUCCAUGGCUGCAUAACAACCAUACAAUUAAUAAAAAGGAAUAACUGUUCCAAAGACUCAGACUAACAUACAGGACAGUCCAGCUGGAUGUGAUAAAGAUUUUAUCACCUUAUAUGGAAAACACCGGCUGCACUGGAUUCAUCAGUGUUAACUUCCUUUGAGGAAGCUGCCUUACAGUUUUCAUCACUGGGACUUAAAAAAAAAUUACUGUGAAAAUGAGGUAUUCUGUACUUCUCAGUUAAGACUUGUUCUUUGAGUGAUGUAUUAAAUGCUGCUAGAAAAGCCUCUUUACAUUAAACAUAAAUCAAUCUUAAAUGAUAAUUGUUAACUUUGAUGAAAAACGAGUACAGGAUGAGAAGGGAAGUAAAGGUGAUAGUAAGACCAAAGAAUUUGUGUAUCAAGUGUCACCCAAAUGAACAGAAUUUUUAACUAUAAGUACAACCCAUCAACUUAUAGAACUGGGGAGAGGAUACUUUCAGCCACCACCUCACAUAAUGAUACCAUCAAGCAGUGUCAUCUUUCAACAGGAAAGGUGCUUUUAGAAGUAGAAUAUAUAUUCACUCACAUGCAAGCGAUUUCCUACAUUUUAAGUACAUUAAAAUCUAAUAUCUAAAAUAUUUUCUCUAAAUAGACAAUCUCAUUAGCUCCAGCCAACUGGUUAUUCUUUAAUAGA